GAUCAUGGACAGCCUAGAGGACUUGGAACUUGGAGCUAAAGAGGUUGGACUAGAAGAACAAGAAGAACCGGAUAUAGAAGAAGCUUUGGAGAUGCCAGCCGGUCCAAUAACUCGAUCAAGGAGCAAGAAACUUAAGGAAGCUAUCAGAGCUAUGCUUAGAACCGGUUGAAGACGAGCUAAUGUCUUGAGCCAGGAGGGAGAAGUUGCUAUACAAGCCGCAUUGGUUUCUAUACAGGCUCAAGAUGAUCAGU
Molecule: long non-coding RNA, 251 nt
Filed under: Eutrema salsugineum
Lineage: Eukaryota; Viridiplantae; Streptophyta; Magnoliopsida; Brassicales; Brassicaceae
Description: long non-coding RNA (ESAL_LNC000370)
Source: RNAcentral